This is a long non-coding RNA of Neofelis nebulosa (Clouded leopard), 396 nucleotides long. RefSeq lists it as uncharacterized. The record is from RefSeq and is a predicted model, not a curated record. The transcript is spliced from 3 exons. Lineage: Eukaryota; Metazoa; Chordata; Mammalia; Carnivora; Felidae.
GUCCUGUAUCUCCACCGCCAAAGUUCUCUGGAAGAAAUUACAACUUUAUGAUUCAUGAACACAGAGAGGACAAUCCUUUCAUCUAUCUGUCUUAUAAAUGGGAUGGCUCUCUGGGAACAGCUAAACUUGAAGGAAAUUAUGGGAGCAACUAUUCUUCAACCACAUACUUGAAGCCACUCUUCAGUUUUUCCACACCAGAGGUCCCAAAGUCAAGCUACAUUCAAAAAGAUAAGCAACAAAUUGGAUACCCAAGUUCUGAAGAGCCAGAAAUCCUUUAUAGGUAGGACAUAUGCAGAUGAAACCCAACUAUUAAAAAAUCUCCUGCAGAAAAAAAUGUUUAUAUAUAUUUAUACACAUAUGCAUAUGAUUAUUAAAAAUCAUACUCAGAAUACUUUA